RNAcentral lists this ribosomal RNA (465 nucleotides) under Vreelandella stevensii. RNAcentral describes it as "partial 16S ribosomal RNA". It matches the Rfam family "Bacterial small subunit ribosomal RNA", at positions 338 to 795 of the family's 1533-position model. The record is from RNAcentral. Lineage: Bacteria; Pseudomonadati; Pseudomonadota; Gammaproteobacteria; Oceanospirillales; Halomonadaceae.
CCUACGGGAGGCAGCAGUGGGGAAUAUUGGACAAUGGGGGGAACCCUGAUCCAGCCAUGCCGCGUGUGUGAAGAAGGCCCUCGGGUUGUAAAGCACUUUCAGUGAGGAAGAACGCCUGGUGGUUAAUACCCAUCAGGAAAGACAUCACUCACAGAAGAAGCACCGGCUAACUCCGUGCCAGCAGCCGCGGUAAUACGGAGGGUGCGAGCGUUAAUCGGAAUUACUGGGCGUAAAGCGCGCGUAGGUGGCUUGAUAAGCCGGUUGUGAAAGCCCCGGGCUCAACCUGGGAACGGCAUCCGGAACUGUCAAGCUAGAGUGCAGGAGAGGAAGGUAGAAUCCCCGGUGUAGCGGUGAAAUGCGUAGAGAUCGGGAGGAAUACCAGUGGCGAAGGCGGCCUUCUGGACUGACACUGACACUGAGGUGCGAAAGCGUGGGUAGCAAACAGGAUUAGAUACCCGGGUAGUC